RNAcentral lists this long non-coding RNA (308 nucleotides) under Fukomys damarensis (Damara mole-rat). Its description in RNAcentral is "lncRNA (ENSFDAG00000029602.1)". The record is from RNAcentral. Lineage: Eukaryota; Metazoa; Chordata; Mammalia; Rodentia; Bathyergidae.
GCUCUACUUGCUCACAUUAGGCUGUGGUGUCCUGGAACCUCCAAUAAAUGCACCCAAGAAGAGACACCCCCAUUUGCCAGCCCUGACAGACUGCCAUUUGGCAUGUGGUUUUUCUCUCUCCCCGGGGAAGCUCCGUUACAAGCCUGAAGAAGAUAAACACCUGGAAGGGACACACAUGGCUUCCACCCAUCAAAGUGUGUGUGCUAUUGAUGCGAAGCGAGAAGAGUAAGUGUGCAUGGAGAGGAGGAGAAAGGUGAAAUGGGUGUAUGGUGCACAUAAUAUCAUCACUGGGGCAAAAGUGAACCGCA